AAUGGGCGAAAGCCUGACGGAGCAACGCCGCGUGAGGGAGGAAGGCCUCUGGGCUGUAAACCUCUUUUAUCAAGGAAGAAGAUCUGACGGUACUUGAUGAAUAAGCCACGGCUAAUUCCGUGCCAGCAGCCGCGGUAAUACGGGAGUGGCAAGCGUUAUCCGGAAUUAUUGGGCGUAAAGCGUCCGCAGGCGGCCCUUCAAGUCUGCUGUUAAAAAGUGGAGCUUAACUCCAUCAUGGCAGUGGAAACUGUUGGGCUUGAGUGUGGUAGGGGCAGAGGGAAUUCCCGGUGUAGCGGUGAAAUGCGUAGAUAUCGGGAAGAACACCAGUGGCGAAGGCGCUCUGCUGGGCCAUCACUGACGCUCAUGGACGAAAGCCAGGGGAGCGAAAGGGAUU
This 394-nucleotide ribosomal RNA is filed under the name uncultured Gammaproteobacteria bacterium. RNAcentral's name for it is "bacterial SSU rRNA". It matches the Rfam family "Bacterial small subunit ribosomal RNA", at positions 370 to 779 of the family's 1533-position model. Lineage: Bacteria; Pseudomonadati; Pseudomonadota; Gammaproteobacteria. The record is from RNAcentral.